Molecule: long non-coding RNA, 5235 nt
Organism: Empidonax traillii (willow flycatcher)
Lineage: Eukaryota; Metazoa; Chordata; Aves; Passeriformes; Tyrannidae
Exons: 4
Source: RefSeq, a predicted model, not a curated record
AGCUAUCUAUGCAAUAAGGAGGUUAAAUUUAUUGAGUGUCUGUUCCUUAAGUCCAGACUAAUUAAUUUACAGACUUUAAGCUAGGACAGUCCUUCUGAGCACCUAAUGUGGCCUAAUACUUAACAGAGUUUGUAGAUUUCCUAGGACCCACUGCAAAGAUGUGAAAAGUGACAUGGCCAGGAUUAUAUGUCAGGAAAAAUGAGCAUGGCUGUGAAAAAAAGGAGGAAGCAGGGGAGAACUUAGCGCUGUGAGAUGAAGGCCUAGAAUUGGGGCAGGGAAUGGAAUCAAGUUGUUUGGCAGAGGAGAUGGGAGAAGUAGCAAAAAGGAAAGAAGAAAUUAGUCAUGAAGCAUCUCAGCCUGGUCAUUGGAUUUCUUCCAGAAGCUCCUUGCAGCACUAGGAGCAGAAACAGAGGAAAUAAGUGUAGGAGGAUGGGUUACACAAACUAGCUCAGUAAUGAGCAAUAAAGGAGAAGAGGAAGGAGAGUUUGGAGGCAUUAUCAUGCCAACAGAUGGACCAGAAGAGGAAAAGGGAAGAAGGCAGGAAGCACAUGAAAGCCACUUUGACUACAGAGGCCAAGGUACCAAGCUGACAAUGAGAUAAAAUUCUAGACUGUACCGUGUCCCAGUUGUUGUACUUUUCAUAGCUGUGGCCGGCAGCACGAGCUUGGCUGUCAAACUGGGUGUCCAGCGCAGCCUGCAGGUUGUCAAUCAGAACUCUGGAAUAAGGCACCAUGAGGAGUGUAAAGAGAAACAUACUAUAAUCUAGCAGGAAAGUAAGACAUUUAAAGGUGUUCCUGGAAUUAAGGCCAUGUGGAUUGUGAAGUGAAAGGUGAGCAGGUUGAAAGUAAGAUAUAUUAGGUUCAAGUUUCAACCUACUUCCUGCCUCAGUCUUGCCACCAGAAUGAUCAGGGAGCAAUGGGCUUCUCCCAGUUAACACCUGCCUGCUUACUCCCAUACUAGCAAACCUCCAGGGUGGCAACAGUUUGAUUUAAGAAAAAUGGCAAUGCUAAGAUAGAGUUUGUCUAGAAAAUGAGCUCUGGGCUGAUCUCAUGUUGCCAGAUGCCUCUGCCUCAAUAGGAAAAGGGCUCUCUCUUGAACUUUUGGUAAUGGAGGGAAGUUAAACUGCAGCAAUGUUUCAAUCCCAUGCAGAAACCCAUGUUUUGCUUGAUGAAAUUCUCUGUCAAACCUAGCUUCCAAAGUUUAGAUGUGGUUUGACUUCUCUAUUGCAGGGGCAUUGUCCAUCCUUUAAGCUACUUUAUUGAGUGUGAGGUGGGCUACUAAAGUUGAACACACAAUGGCAAGAAAACCCCAGCAUCAUGUCUGGAUUGUUUGGGUCUCUCCUGUUCACCUUUCCCUGGGGCUGACACAAAGGCACAGCUCAUCACUGAGCAUACUCUUGAGAACCUUUUGCUUAUAUUUCAACCUUGGCCAUCAAAAAACGAAGUCCUCUUGUUUUUCCAGUGCCUGUCUUAACACGUUUACAAAUCUUGCUCAUCCAGGAUAUGUACCUGGUGAUUUGUGACUUGGAUAGAAGAACAGGAGGCCAGUUUGUGAGGCAUCACCAGCCUUCAGAACAAACAGUGCAAAUGACUACAUUGACAUGUCACGGCACUGCAGCUGCACUUCAAAAGAAUUAUAACAUCUUGGGUUGUCACAAGGACAACCCACUCAAGUUUGUCAGGGUCAGCUUCCAGACCCUUGUGGCCUUUGUUGCAAUCAAAAGAUUUGUGCAUGGACCUGAGGGAGUUCAUUAAUAUUAUAGGAAAGCUAACACAUGUAGAGUAACUCCUCCAUUGCUACAGAGGAAAUUCCACUAAAAAUUGGAUUUCUGUGCUGUAUGUGCACUGUGGCAUUAUUGAAAAUUAUUUAUUCCAGAGUGGUUUUAGAUUCUGUUCUCACAGCAGCAUCCAAAUUAGUCAUGAUUAACACGAGGCCAGUAAAUUUAGGAUGGGUUACCUUCGGAUUUAUCAGAUCGUAAAAGUUAUGUUUCAUGAGGACUGUGUGGUGGCCUAUGAAGGAGCAACAACAAUGGGGCUGAGAGACAAAAACUCUACACUCAGCCAAAUGAAAUAAUAAACAUUUGAUCAAAUAAUACUGACUUUCACUGUUUGAGUACACGAUGCUGACAGAUUACCCUUUAGACAUCAAAAAAGCCUGUUAAUGAGGCUGGGCAGAGCCAAUUUGCAAUGCUCAGGUGGAGUGAAAGGAGAAAUGAAGACAGAACAACCCCCCUCCACUCCAUCUGAAAGUCAAUUUCUCUUCCUCAGUUAAUGCUUACAUAGUGAUUGGGAAAGCAGGACCAGGCAACUGCUUAUUCUCCUUAUUCUUCCGUUAGUGCUGCUCACUACAAUGUUUCUGUUCUCAGUGAUGCAUAAUGUGCCAGUUUGCUCUGUUCCCUCCACUUAUGCUGCAGUUGUAUUUGAUCGGCUCAUGGCUUUUUUACUUCUAAGUAAAGAUACAACUAAAAGCUCUCUCUUUGGAGAGAUCCUUGCUGUGGAUCUUCUGUGGGACUUGAGAAAGCCCAAGAUUUUUCUGGGAAUCUGUUCUCCCCACUUGCUUGGCCUUUCACCUUGCAACUGUCUCCUGCGUGUCACCUGUUGGGUUUUUUUGGCCCUCUGCCUGUUGUUCUGCAACUUAGAGAACUCACUGGGGAGCUGCUCAUGGUGGCCCUUGGGGCUCACCAUUUUCUGGCUUCAGUUCCCUCUUAGUAUCAUUCAAACUCAUCUGGUGUGCUUUCUGGCUCUUUCUAGACUUCUGCUGAAUUUUGUCUUUAGUGGGAAAUCUUUCUUGUCCUCUCCACACUGUACUGCAAUGAGCUUUCACCUCAGGGAAAUUUCUGGUAGUGCAUCUUUGCUUCCUGUACCUUGCCUCUGUCAACAUUUCACCUCAGCCCUUCAACACAUAGUGAUUACAGUCCAUUUGAACUAUCUUAGGAAAGCUGAACUCAGUAGAGUCAUCCACAGGAGGGCCGAAGUUCCUGACAGGAAAAUCAAUUGACCAAUAUGAAAAGCUCAAACACAUUCUCCCCAGUGUUUAGUUCUCUUCCAUUCAAAAUACAGUAGUGAGAACGAACUUACUGAUACUCCACUGCACUUUCCUUCAAAAGUUCUUCAACCUCAAAAGAAUUCUCAGCUCCAACUCGGAAAUCAACUUGCAUUUUUGGCCUUACCAGAGUGACAGAGUCUGGCUGCCAAAAGUCAACCUGAAAGAAGGGCAGAUGAAUACAUAAGCAAAUAAAUAUGUCCAUGUGGCUGUGAUUUUUAGGUUGGUGUAUGUGUGAUGGUGAUGUCGAUUGUGAUUAAAAGAUUGAAUUUCAUUCCUAUUCUGUUACACUGAUCAGACCUUGCUUGCCAGAAGUAUCAACCUAAAUUUUAACUGGAAAUGUAAAAGAAGUUGGGGCUUCUUAGUCAUGAACUAUGUGUCAUCAAGUAAGGUGAUUGUUCCAGAAUACAGAAUUACAUCAGUCCUGACCGAUUGCUUUGUAUAACAAUGGUAUUUCAUGGAUCUUUGCUUAAAAGAAAAAGAAAACAAACAAUCCCUUUAUUCUACACACUUUAAAGCAAGCAUGGUAUGUAUUAAUUUUCUUAAUAUUGGCAGCACCAUUCCAAUAGCUUGUUCUUCUUCAGAAUACUGUUCCAGCAUGCUAUACUAGCCUGUUGAUGAUAGUUCUCCACAUCUGUACUUCAUUAAAAAUACUCUCCUUUCAUCCUUCAGAUAAUGGUGUCUUUUUCACCAACAGCUAUUUUACAACAUCAAAGCUGAAGAGAAAUAUUGAAAACACAUUUUCUGUCUUUAUAGUUUUUCAUCAUGUCACUGUGUCAUCAUAUAUCUACAUCAAGGUUCUUUACCUGCAUGAUGCUGGCAAGGGAGUUGAGGAUUUCCACCUGCUCAUCAUUCUGUGGAAUCACACGAAACACCUUCUGUCUGGAAAAGGAGAAAAAGAUUGGAUUUGAAACAGAUGCUACUUAACAUGUGAGCAGGUAACAGAUAAGGAGAGAAAAGAAUGGAAGUAAUGAGAUCUAGGAUAUGGAGCAGAAAAAAAAGGCAGCUCUCAUGACUUUGGGAUGUGUUUGUACCACUGCUAUUGACUCAUCAGCUUCCAACCCUGAAAUCUGAUCUGCUAGGAAGGAAUGAAGAAGAAGUAGAGAGAGAGAGACCACACUUUGAUCCGCUGCCUCCUGAAACAUCACAGCUACCUGAAAUCCUUUCAAUUUCUGUGAAUUAUUUAAAAUAUUUUCUUUAAAAAAAUAUAUAUUUUGAUGUGGAAAUGUUGCCGUAGUGUCUCAUAGAAAAGGUGGAAAAGGUAUCCCAAGGCCCCAUACCGUAUUCUGCAGCUGGUAUGUCACACCAGUGAUGUUCUGUGACUAAGGACUCCAGCCCUGGAGCAGCUCAGGUGCUCGUUUGAUGCAAAUGUCAUCAGGAGAUCUGGUCCAGAAACCUGGCCAGAUUAAAAAAAUAAUUCAAAUAUGUAAAAAUAUGGAAUAUAUAUAUAUAUGCUAUUUUUCCCCUAUAAAACCCCAUAAUACUCCUACCUUGAGAAAUUUCAUAGUGAAAGAUGAUGUUCCUUCCCUGUUGUGCUUAGCUGUUUUUUACUACUGUGCAACAGACUGCUUGUAGAAGGGCUGGGGAAUUUUUUCCUCUUGGUUUACUGCCAAAGAUCUUCCUACCUAAGCAGAGCUGACACUUGGUUUGUUCAGGAUGUUGCAGUAUGUUGUAUGUCAGACAUUUGAUUUUAUUUUCUCACUGGAAGGCUUACAUCAGAAGUUUGGGAUUUUGCUUGUUUCUGAUUAAUACACAAUUUUUAAUUAAAUAUUUUGCUUCCUUUAUGCUACCUUUGUAUUUUCUGAAUUAAGUCAGUUGCUGGAACUUCUCUCAUAUUUGAAGAAACUGGUAAUUCUUAUUCCAUCAGGGAAAUAGGAAUAGGUCAUGAUGUUCAAUACCUCCCACUCACUGAAUAACAAGCUUCUGGAACCUUAACUAAGAGAUUUUGUCAUGAAACAAAGGUGAUUAGUUUGGCUUAUUGCAAAUAAUUUUGGAUUGAAUUAAGAAUUUAUGCAGAAUGAAAGAUGAGAUAGUGCUCUCUUCAUCAACUUUCUCCUUCAUUAUAUUCUAAGAUGGGACCCUAACAUCCAAAAUAGUUAGAAUUGUAAUCUAUCUGUCAUAUUUCAUUAGAUUCUGAUAUGAGUGAUGGGUGGAUGGAAGCUGGACCACUUUGUUCAAGGAAGAUUCAGCACA